GGAAUCUUCCACAAUGGGCGAAAGCCUGAUGGAGCAACGCCGCGUGUGUGAUGAAGGCUUUCGGGUCGUAAAGCACUGUUGUAUGGGAAGAACAGCUAGAAUAGGGAAUGAUUUUAGUUUGACGGUACCAUACCAGAAAGGGACGGCUAACUCCGUGCCAGCAGCCGCGGUAAUACGGAGGGUGCAAGCGUUAAUCGGAAUUACUGGGCGUAAAGCGCACGCAGGCGGUCUGUUAAGUCAGAUGUGAAAUCCCCGGGCUUAACCUGGGAACUGCAUUUGAAACUGGCAGGCUUGAGUCUUGUAGAGGGGGGUAGAAUUCCAGGUGUAGCGGUGAAAUGCGUAGAGAUCUGGAGGAAUACCGGUGGCGAAGGCGGCCCCCUGGACAAAGACUGACGCUCAGGUGCGAAAGCGUGGGGAGCAAACA
RNAcentral lists this ribosomal RNA (424 nucleotides) under uncultured bacterium. Its description in RNAcentral is "bacterial SSU rRNA". It matches the Rfam family "Bacterial small subunit ribosomal RNA", at positions 358 to 774 of the family's 1533-position model. The record is from RNAcentral.